RNAcentral lists this ribosomal RNA (500 nucleotides) under uncultured bacterium. Its description in RNAcentral is "partial 16S ribosomal RNA". It matches the Rfam family "Bacterial small subunit ribosomal RNA", at positions 28 to 507 of the family's 1533-position model. The record is from RNAcentral.
GACGAACGCUGGCGGCGUGCUUAACACAUGCAAGUCGAACGGGCCUGUCUUCUUUUUUGGGGGGUGGGUUGAGUGGCGAACGGGUGAGUAUCACGUGAGUAACCUGCCCUUCGGUCCUGGAUAACCGCUUGAAAGGGCGGCUAAUACGGGGUGGUCCGGUUGGUCCGCAUGGGCUGGUCGGGAUAGAUUCACUGUUUUUGGUGUUUCGGCGGGGGAUGGGCUCGCGGCCUAUCAGCUUGUUGGUGGGGUGAUGGCCUACCAGGGCGGUGACGGGUAGCCGGCCUGAGAGGGUGGGCGGCCACACUGGGACUGAGAUACGGCCCAGACUCCUGCGGGAGGCAGCAGUGGGGGGUAUUGCACAAUGGGCGGAAGCCUGAUGCAGCGACGUCGCGUGAGGGAUGGAGGCCUUCGGGUUGUGAACCUCUGUUUCCGGUGGUGAAGGCCCUGUCCGUGUGGUGGGGUUGACGGUAGCCGGGGAUGAAGCGCCGGCUAACUACGUG